This 398-nucleotide ribosomal RNA is filed under the name uncultured bacterium. RNAcentral's name for it is "bacterial SSU rRNA". It matches the Rfam family "Bacterial small subunit ribosomal RNA", at positions 362 to 776 of the family's 1533-position model. The record is from RNAcentral.
UAGUGCACAAUGGAGGAAACUCUGAUGCAGUGACACCGCGUAUAGGAAGAAGGUUUUCGGAUUGUAAACUAUUUUAGACAGGGAAGAAAAAAGACAGUACCUGUAGAAUAAGCUCCGGCUAACUACGUGCCAGCAGCCGCGGUAAUACGUAGGGGGCAAGCGUUAUCCGGAUUUACUGGGUGUAAAGGGAGCGUAGACGGCAGCGCAAGCCAGGAGUGAAAGCCCGGGGCCCAACCCCGGGACUGCUCUUGGAACUGCGCGGCUGGAGUGCAGGAGGGGCAGGCGGAAUUCCUGGUGUAGCGGUGAAAUGCGUAGAUAUCAGGAGGAACACCGGUGGCGAAGGCGGCCUGCUGGACUGCGACUGACGUUGAGGCCCGAAAGCGUGGGGAGCAAACAGG